Molecule: ribosomal RNA, 778 nt
Filed under: Diplommatina plecta
Lineage: Eukaryota; Metazoa; Mollusca; Gastropoda; Architaenioglossa; Diplommatinidae
Description: eukaryotic LSU rRNA
Rfam family: Eukaryotic large subunit ribosomal RNA (bases 302-778)
Source: RNAcentral
AAACCGCCUAGAGGUAAACGGGUGGAUCCGCAAAGUCGGCUCGCGAAAUUCAGCUCGGAGGGCCGGCGCGGCGGGCAGGAGGAGAUCUCUCGCAGACUCGCCUGCCUGCCGUCCCGCCGGCUCCGACGUGUGCACUUUUCGCGGGCAGAGCGCCACGACCGGUUCUCGGGCAGUCAGAAGGCGGCGGGGAAGGUAGGCGGGCGCCUCCGCCGCGCUCGCUGUUAUAGCCCCGCCUGUCCCGAUCUGCUCCUGGGGACCGAGGAGCCGCCGCCCGGCCUUUAGGGCUACCCCGCUCUCCCGGGAGGCUUCGACUGGCAGAGACUGGGCGACCGUGUCUGCCGACCGCCUCUCUGGACAGGACCCGGGGGUGUAACCGUUUAGCCGGCCGGGCAAAGGGUCGGUGGCGAAUCGGUCGGCACUCCACCCGACCCGUCUUGAAACACGGACCAAGGAGUCUAACAUGCGCGCGAGUCGUUGGGUGGUACGAAACCCGGAGGCGAAGUGAAAGCGAGGGCCGUCCUCUGCGACGUGCUCAGGUGGGAUCCCCUCUUCCUUUGCCGAAAAGGGGCGCACCACCGGCCCGUCUCGUUCGCGCUGUCGAGGAGGCGGAGCAAGAGCGUGCACGUUGGGACCCGAAAGAUGGUGAACUAUGCCUGAGUAGGAUGAAGCCAGAGGAAACUCUGGUGGAGGUCCGCAGCGAUUCUGACGUGCAAAUCGAUCGUCAAACUUGGGUAUAGGGGCGAAAGACUAAUCGAACCAUCUAGUAGCUGGUUCCCUC